Molecule: ribosomal RNA, 429 nt
Filed under: Acidobacteriota bacterium
Lineage: Bacteria; Pseudomonadati; Acidobacteriota
Description: Acidobacteria bacterium partial 16S ribosomal RNA
Rfam family: Bacterial small subunit ribosomal RNA
Source: RNAcentral
UGGGGAAUUUUGGACAAUGGGGGAAACCCUGAUCCAGCCAUCCCGCGUGUGCGAUGAAGGCCUUCGGGUUGUAAAGCACUUUUGGCAGGAAAGAAACGUCAUGGGUUAAUACCCCGUGAAACUGACGGUACCUGCAGAAUAAGCACCGGCUAACUACGUGCCAGCAGCCGCGGUAAUACGUAGGGUGCAAGCGUUAAUCGGAAUUACUGGGCGUAAAGCGUGCGCAGGCGGUUCGGAAAGAAAGAUGUGAAAUCCCAGAGCUCAACUUUGGAACUGCAUUUUUAACUACCGGGCUAGAGUGUGUCAGAGGGAGGUGGAAUUCCGCGUGUAGAAGUGAAAUGCGUAGAUAUGCGGAGGAACACAGAUGGCGAAGGCAGCCUCCUGGGAUAACACUGACGCUCAUGCACGAAAGCGUGGGGAGCAAACAGG